Molecule: ribosomal RNA, 324 nt
Filed under: uncultured eukaryote
Lineage: Eukaryota
Description: partial 18S ribosomal RNA
Rfam family: Eukaryotic small subunit ribosomal RNA
Source: RNAcentral
CCCUUAGAUGUUCUGGGCUGCACGCGCGCUACACUGAAGCGUUCAACGAGUAUUCACCUUGCCCGGGAGGGUUGGGUAAUCUCUUUAAAAUGCAUCGUGAUGGGGAUAGACUCUUGCAAUUAUUAGUCUUCAACGAGGAAUUCCUAGUAAACACGAGUCAACAUCUCGUAUUGAUUACGUCCCUGCCCUUUGUACACACCGCCCGUCGCUCCUACCGAUUGUGUGCUUCGGUGAAUAAUUCGGACCGUUCCUCACAAGAGUCUCUCUUUGAGGAGUGGAAAGUUUGGUGAACCUANGNACAUAGNGGAAGGAGAANUCGUANCA